GAAAUGCGAUAAGUAAUGUGAAUUGCAGAAUUCAGUGAAUCAUCGAAUCUUUGAACGCACAUUGCGCCCUCUGGUAUUCCGGGGGGCAUGCCUGUUCGAGCGUCAUUACAACCCUCAAGCCUAGCUUGGUAUUGGGUGCCGUCCCCCGGGGCGCACCUCGAAAUUAGCGGCGGUGCGGCCGGUGAUCAAGCGUAGUAACUACUUCCGCUUCGAAACACCCGGGCGUGCCAGCCGGACAACCCCCAAUUUUUCUAUGGUUGACCUCGGAUCAGGUAGGGAUACCCGCUGAACUUAA
Molecule: unclassified non-coding RNA, 295 nt
Filed under: uncultured fungus
Lineage: Eukaryota; Fungi
Description: sequence contains ITS1
Rfam family: 5.8S ribosomal RNA (bases 1-105)
Source: RNAcentral